AUCAAAAGAAAAUAUAAUGAGGGUCAUGCUCGAACCUUGCUUCAUUAAUAAUUCAACCUUAAUCUUAUGAGGUUUCAAACCCCCUUAAUAAUUAAAGGAAGCAUGUUACCCUGCAACUCCGAAAGCCAAUAAUAAGGAUAAUCUUUUAUAUACCUUUUGUGAAAAUCCCAAAGAUAUUAAAGACAUGUGUUGGAAACUACAUGGUAGGCCAAAUACCUCUAAUAAAAAAUAGGG
This 234-nucleotide long non-coding RNA is filed under the name Carica papaya (papaya). RNAcentral describes it as "long non-coding RNA (CPAP_LNC000462)". The record is from RNAcentral. Lineage: Eukaryota; Viridiplantae; Streptophyta; Magnoliopsida; Brassicales; Caricaceae.